UUCCACCCUUCCCUCUUUGAAGC
This 23-nucleotide microRNA is filed under the name Ornithorhynchus anatinus (platypus). RNAcentral's name for it is "oan-miR-1364". Lineage: Eukaryota; Metazoa; Chordata; Mammalia; Monotremata; Ornithorhynchidae. The record is from miRBase by way of RNAcentral.